This 380-nucleotide ribosomal RNA is filed under the name uncultured cyanobacterium. RNAcentral's name for it is "bacterial SSU rRNA". It matches the Rfam family "Bacterial small subunit ribosomal RNA", at positions 376 to 770 of the family's 1533-position model. Lineage: Bacteria; Bacillati; Cyanobacteriota. The record is from RNAcentral.
CGAAAGCCUGACGGAGCAAGACCGCGUGAGGGAGGAAGGCUCUUGGGUUGUAAACCUCUUUUCUCUGGGAAGAACAAAAUGACGGUACCAGAGGAAUCAGCAUCGGCUAACUCCGUGCCAGCAGCCGCGGUAAGACGGAGGAUGCAAGCGUUAUCCGGAAUGAUUGGGCGUAAAGCGUCCGCAGGUGGCAAUUCAAGUCUGCUGUUAAAGCGCAGGGCUUAACCCUGUAAAGGCAGUGGAAACUGGUUGGCUAGAGUACGGUAGGGGUAGAGGGAAUUCCCAGUGUAGCGGUGAAAUGCGUAGAUAUUGGGAAGAACACCAGUGGCGAAGGCGCUCUACUGGGCCGAAACUGACGCUGAGGGACGAAAGCUAGGGGAGCG